This 413-nucleotide ribosomal RNA is filed under the name uncultured bacterium. RNAcentral describes it as "bacterial LSU rRNA". It matches the Rfam family "Bacterial large subunit ribosomal RNA", at positions 809 to 1222 of the family's 2925-position model. The record is from RNAcentral.
CUGUGGAUAGGGGUGAAAGGCCAAACAAACUUGGUGAUAGCUGGUUCUCCUCGAAAUGCAUUUAGGUGCAGCGUCGUGCGUUCAGUCUCGGAGGUAGAGCACUGGAUGAGCUAGGGGGCCUACAAGCUUACCGAACUCAGCCAAAACUCCGAAUGCCGAGACUCCAGAGCACGGCAGUGAGACCACGGGGGAUGAGCUUCGUUGGUCGAAAGGGAAACAGCCCAGACCAUCAUCUAAGGCCCCUAAUUCAGGACUAAGUGGAAAACGAUGUGGGACUGCUGAGACAGCCAGGAGUUGGCUUAGAAGCAGCCAUCCUUGAAAGAGUGCGUAAUAGCUCACUGGUCGAGUGGUCCUGCGCGGACAAUUUAACGGGGCUCAAGUCCUGAGCCGAAGAUAUGGACUCUACAUCUGUA